This 253-nucleotide ribosomal RNA is filed under the name uncultured bacterium. Its description in RNAcentral is "partial 16S ribosomal RNA". It matches the Rfam family "Bacterial small subunit ribosomal RNA", at positions 524 to 776 of the family's 1533-position model. The record is from RNAcentral.
UACGUAGGGUGCGAGCGUUGUCCGGAAUUAUUGGGCGUAAAGGGCUCGUAGGCGGUUUGUCGCGUCGGGAGUGAAAACCCAGGGCUUAACCCUGGGCUGGCUUCCGAUACGGGCAGACUAGAGGUAUGCAGGGGAGAACGGAAUUCCUGGUGUAGCAGUGAAAUGCGCAGAUAUCAGGAGGAACACCGGUGGCGAAGGCGGUUCUCUGGGCAUUACCUGACGCUGAGGAGCGAAAGUGUGGGGAGCGAACAGG